Molecule: long non-coding RNA, 986 nt
Filed under: Marmota monax (woodchuck)
Lineage: Eukaryota; Metazoa; Chordata; Mammalia; Rodentia; Sciuridae
Source: RNAcentral
GCGAGGGGCGUGUUUGUGAAAUGCUAGCAGCACCUUCAGCGUUUUCUUUGACGCCUUUGAGUCAUUAGCCAUCAGUUCCCGCCUGGCGAGUGGCGCUGUGCUCCUGUGGGUCGCACUGGUCUGAAGGGGUGAAAUUGCCACCCAACUCCACUUUCUGCAAAGGAGUCAGGCCCGAAGGCUCGCAGGGCGUUCAUCUUUGGCUUCUGGAGGGUCCUCCCCACCCCAUGUUCUUUCCAGGGUCCCCUGUCCACCGGUCAUUCUGCCCUGCUGCCUCCAGAGCCUCCCUCCCAGAGCUCACUGCUCCGCAGCGCUCUCCAGGGUGACCCAGGGUCUGCGGCAGGGGAGGGCAGGGCAGGGGAGGGCCGCAGAGCCCAGGCCCAGGAACUGGCAGCGAGGGCAGGCGCAGGGGCUGUGUCUGGCUGCUGGGCGGUGGCUCUGGGGAGGCAGCACAGUGGGCUUUGUCUUGCUCUGCAGAGGAGGAAAGCAGGCCAGGACACACUCACACUGACCCCCCAUUCACACGCACACUGACACACACAGACACCCUCCCACUCCCACACUAACACACUCUCGCACACAGUUACACUAACACAUCAUCGCGUACACACUCACCCUCUCCCCCACACUCACACAUACUAACACACUCACAAGUUUGCACACACACACAACCCCUCCAUGCCAACUCACACACAUACCCACUCACACCCCCACGAUCACACUUACACAUGCAACACUCAUUCACACACAUUCACAUAUCCAUAGUCUCACACACUCACAAACACACAAAACACACACUCACACACACCCCACACCAUCACACACUCACACCCCCACUCAUACACUCACACAAACUCAUAAGCACACUCACACCCCGUACAUCACACAACAUACAUUCUCACACUAACACAGUCACAGCACACACACACCCGCACACACUUAUACGCACUCACUCACACAGCACAUGCUGGGCACACACACACUCAUAC